Molecule: ribosomal RNA, 460 nt
Filed under: uncultured bacterium
Lineage: Bacteria
Description: partial 16S ribosomal RNA
Rfam family: Bacterial small subunit ribosomal RNA
Source: RNAcentral
CCUACGGGUGACAGCAGUGAGGAAUAUUGGUCAAUGGACGAGAGUCUGAACCAGCCAAGUAGCGUGAAGGAUGACUGCCCUAUGGGUUGUAAACUUCUUUUAUAUGGGAAUAAAACGUUCCACGUGUGGGAUUUUGUAUGUACCAUAUGAAUAAGGAUCGGCUAACUCCGUGCCAGCAGCCGCGGUAAUACGGAGGAUCCGAGUGUUAUCCGGAUUUAUUGGGUUUAAAGGGAGCGUAGGUGGAUUGUUAAGUCAGUUGUGAAAGUUUGCGGCUCAACCGUAAAAUUGCAGUUGAAACUGGCAGUCUUGAGUACAGUAGAGGUGGGCGGAAUUCGUGGUGUAGCGGUGAAAUGCUUAGAUAUCACGAAGAACUCCGAUUGCGAAGGCAGUUCACUGGACUGCAACUGACAUUGAGGCUCGAAAGUGUGGGUAUCAAACAGGAUUAGAUACCCUAGUAGUC